GUGCAGUGUGCCUGCAUCGGUUCAAAAACAGAGAGGGACGCAAGACCACACUCAACAAGAGCUGAUAGAAAAGUCUAAGCAAGAGAUUUUCCUGUAGUCAUGCAGUCUCAAGUUUCAGUUGUGCAGGAUGGCUAAUGAGUGGAGUGAUGAAUUUUCUGGUAGAGUGAUGCAGUUUCUCAGUGGGGUCGUUGGACUGGUGGAGUUGCUGGAGCUGGUGGGGUGGUUUGAUGAUUAGCCUGUAAGAUAGAAUUGAAUUGAAUAUUGUCUGAAAUUAGUUAUAAAUUCAUUGUCAAGUGCCAAAGUGCUAUCACAUACAAGGCCACACAUUUUCACUAAUUUUUAAAGCAGAUAUUAAUAUGAUGUAAAGCACUUGAGGCACUUGAUAUAAUAUAGACAGUUUUAUAUCAUAAAU
Molecule: long non-coding RNA, 412 nt
Organism: Triplophysa rosa
Lineage: Eukaryota; Metazoa; Chordata; Actinopteri; Cypriniformes; Nemacheilidae
Exons: 3
Source: RefSeq, a predicted model, not a curated record